Molecule: ribosomal RNA, 906 nt
Filed under: Agaricus arvensis
Lineage: Eukaryota; Fungi; Basidiomycota; Agaricomycetes; Agaricales; Agaricaceae
Description: partial large subunit ribosomal RNA
Rfam family: Eukaryotic large subunit ribosomal RNA
Source: RNAcentral
AACAGGAUUCCCCUAGUAACUGCGAGUGAAGCGGGAAAAGCUCAAAUUUAAAAUCUGGCGGUCUCUGGCCGUCCGAGUUGUAAUCUAGAGAAGUAAUGCCCGUGCUGGACCGUGUAUAAGUCUCCUGGGAUGGGGCGUCAUAGAGGGUGAGAAUCCCGUCUUUGACACGGACUACCAGUGCAUUGUGGUAUGCUCUCAAAGAGUCGAGUUGUUUGGGAAUGCAGCUCAAAAUGGGUGGUAAAUUCCAUCUAAAGCUAAAUAUUGGCGAGAGACCGAUAGCGAACAAGUACCGUGAGGGAAAGAUGAAAAGAACUUUGGAAAGAGAGUUAAACAGUACGUGAAAUUGCUGAAAGGGAAACGCUUGAAGUCAGUCGCGUUGGCCGGGGAUCAGCCUUGCUUUUGCAUGGUGUAUUUUCUGGUUGACGGGUCAGCAUCAAUUUUGACCGCUGGAAAAAGACCUGGGGAAUGUGGCAGCUUCGGCUGUGUUAUAGCCCCUAGUCGCAUACAGUGGUUGGGAUUGAGGAACUCAGCACGCCGCAAGGCCGGGUUUCGACCACGUUCGUGCUUAGGAUGCUGGCAUAAUGGCUUUAAGCGACCCGUCUUGAAACACGGACCAAGGAGUCUAACAUGCCUGCGAGUAUUUGGGUGGAAAACCCAAGUGCGUAAUGAAAGUGAAAGUUGAGAUCCCUGUCGUGGGGAGCAUCGACGCCCGGACCAGAACUUUUGGGACGGAUCCGCGGUGGAGCAUGUAUGUUGGGACCCGAAAGAUGGUGAACUAUGCCUGAAUAGGGUGAAGCCAGAGGAAACUCUGGUGGAGGCUCGUAGCGAUUCUGACGUGCAAAUCGAUCGUCAAAUUUGGGUAUAGGGGCGAAAGACUAAUCGAACCAUCUAGUAGCUGGUUCCUGC